Chinchilla lanigera (long-tailed chinchilla) is the source of this 782-nucleotide long non-coding RNA. RefSeq lists it as uncharacterized. The transcript is spliced from 2 exons. NCBI's taxonomy places the organism in Eukaryota, Metazoa, Chordata, Mammalia, Rodentia, Chinchillidae. The record is from RefSeq and is a predicted model, not a curated record.
AGGACAAAAGACAGAUUGUAAUGGGAGAGGGAGCCAGUAGCCCACAAGUAGCUCCAACAGCGCUGGACAUCUGGAAGAGAAAACCUCCACACAGCGAGAUUAAAUACAGUAACUUGCCUGAGACCACACUGUUUAGGGAAGAACUCAGACUUGACCGAGGUCUUAUUCACUGCACCAAGAGGUAGGGAGAGCCUACAGGAGUCCAAGGACAGUAUCACACUAUCACAGAUUUGAGACAUCAUUAGACAUCAGGGAAAUAAACGCAAGCCAUAACCACAAGAUACUAGUUCACCCCCACAGGGAUGACAAGAGGAGAAAAAUCAGAUAACACUAAGUGUUGGAAAGGAUGUGGGAAAAUCAGAACCCUCACCUAUUCUGGUAGAAGUGGAAAAUGAGUCUACUGCUUUGGUUUAGAAGUUCCUUGACUGAUUCCGCAUGGAGUUACCAUAUGAUCCAGUUAUUCUACUCUGAGGCAUAUGCUAUAGAUCAAAUGUUUCUAUGUCAGAAUCCGUAUGUUAAACCCUAAGGCUCAGUGUGAUGAUACUGGGCAGUGAGGCCUUUGGGAGGUGAUUAGGUCACGAGGGCUCCAUGAACGAGAUCAGUGCCCUUAUAAAAGAGGCCUCUAAGAGCACCCCUCCCCUGCCACCGUGAGAGUUUACAGUGAGAAGUCCGCUACCUAGGAGCCAGAGGUGGGUCUGCCCCAGACGCUGCGUCUGCUGGUAUCUUCAUCGUGGACUGUCCAGCCUUUAGGACUGUGAGAAAUAAAGUUCUCUUGUUUAUAA